GUGCCAGCCGCCGCGGUAAUACCGGCAGCUCAAGUGAUGUCCCAUAUUAUUGGGCCUAAAGCGUCCGUAGCUGGCCGCGCAAGUCCGUCGGGAAAUCCACCUGCCCAACAGGUGGGCGUCCGGCGGAAACUGUGUGGCUUGGAACCGGAAGGCUCAGAGGGUACGUCCGGGGUAGGAGUGAAACCCCGUAAUCCCGGACGGACCACCGAUGGCGAAAGCACCUCGAGAAGACGGCUCCGACGGUGAGGGACGAAAGCCAGGGUCUCGAACCGGAUUAGAUACCCUGGUAGUCC
RNAcentral lists this ribosomal RNA (293 nucleotides) under uncultured bacterium. Its description in RNAcentral is "partial 16S ribosomal RNA". It matches the Rfam family "Archaeal small subunit ribosomal RNA", at positions 455 to 747 of the family's 1478-position model. The record is from RNAcentral.